This 301-nucleotide ribosomal RNA is filed under the name uncultured bacterium. RNAcentral describes it as "partial 16S ribosomal RNA". It matches the Rfam family "Bacterial small subunit ribosomal RNA", at positions 509 to 809 of the family's 1533-position model. The record is from RNAcentral.
CAGCAGCCGCGGUAAUACGGAGGGCGCGAGCGUUAAUCGGAAUAACUGGGCGUAAAGGGCACGCAGGCGGUGACUUAAGUGAGGUGUGAAAGCCCCGGGCUUAACCUGGGAAUUGCAUUUCAUACUGGGUCGCUAGAGUACUUUAGGGAGGGGUAGAAUUCCACGUGCAGCGGUGAAAUGCGUAGAGAUGUGGAGGAAUACCGAAGGCGAAGGCAGCCCCUUGGGAAUGUACUGACGCUCAUGUGCGAAAGCGUGGGGAGCAAACAGGAUUAGAUACCCCCGUAGUCCCUGUCUCUUAUAA